CUAUGACUCACUAGUAAUUAUUUCGGGGAUAAAAAAUAUCGUCUUACUAAACCUUACUGGUCGAAGAAGUUUCUCACAAACGAACGCCAUCUCUCUCUCUCGCAUCGUUUGUCUCCCUUCUCUAACCCAUAUCUUCAGAUUUCACGCUCGUUUUUUCUCACAAUGUUUACUCUCGUUCCCAAUUUAUCUUCCGUUUAUGCAAAAGCCCUAAUCUGGUUUGCUUUUGAUUGAAUUGUUCGCCCAGAUUUGGUGGAGGCAAUUGGAAGUCCUCCGUAUCCCUUUAUCGAGUGUUAAUUCAUCUCUUGAAUUCAGACAUGUGCUGCUGUUGACCGGGAGCUGCACCAUCAUCGCCAAAUUGAUGCUUUUCACAGCGGAACCACUGCCUUGACUAUUGUUAGGCAGGCUGCUAAAUAAAUAUGGAGAAAUUAUUUUGAAUGGCGUGGAGUCAUCGCAGGAGAAUAAAAUUGUUCAUCAGAUGCUCCU
Long non-coding RNA from Erythranthe guttata (spotted monkey flower), 483 nucleotides. RefSeq lists it as uncharacterized. Lineage: Eukaryota; Viridiplantae; Streptophyta; Magnoliopsida; Lamiales; Phrymaceae. The record is from RefSeq and is a predicted model, not a curated record.